CUACGGAGGGUGCAAGCGUUAUUCGGAAUCACUGGGCGUAAAGGACGCGUAGGCGGGUUGGCAAGUCAGAUGUGAAAUCCUACAGCUUAACUGAAGAACUGCAUUUGAAACUGCUAACCUAGAGUUUGGGAGGGGGAGAUGGAAUUAGUGGUGUAGGGGUAAAAUCCGUAGAUAUCACUAGGAAUACCGAAAGCGAAGGCGAUCUCCUGGAACAUAACUGACGCUAAGGCGUGAAAGCGUGGGGAGCAAACAGGAUUAGAAACCCCAGUAGUCC
This 274-nucleotide ribosomal RNA is filed under the name uncultured bacterium. RNAcentral describes it as "partial 16S ribosomal RNA". It matches the Rfam family "Bacterial small subunit ribosomal RNA", at positions 523 to 796 of the family's 1533-position model. The record is from RNAcentral.